This 19-nucleotide small nuclear RNA is filed under the name Arabidopsis thaliana (thale cress). RNAcentral describes it as "snRNA_13205". Lineage: Eukaryota; Viridiplantae; Streptophyta; Magnoliopsida; Brassicales; Brassicaceae. The record is from RNAcentral.
ACCUUAGCCUUCUAUCUCA